UGGUUUUAUUAACUUGCCACAGGCCCCUGAGGUAGCAUCACUCCCUUAAUACUUCAGUUUUAUGUUAUUUAUUUUUUCUCUUUUUUUUUUUUUGUGUGACGGAGUCUCACUCUGUUGCCCAGACUGGAACGCAGUGGCGUGAUCUCGGCUCACUGCAACCUCCACCUCCCGGGUUCAAGUGAUUCUCCUGCCUCAGUCUCCCAAGUAGCUGGGAUUACAGGCGUGCGCCACCACGCCCAGCUAAUUUUUGUUAGACGGGGUUUCACCAUGUUGGCCAGGAUGGUCUUGAGCUCUUGACCUUGUGAUCCACCCACCUCAGCCUCCCAAAGUGCUGGGAUCACAUGCGUGAGCCACCGCAUCCAGCCUUAUUAAUUUUUUGAGACGGGGCUUGCUCUGUCACCUAGGCUGGAGUGCAGUGAUGCAGUCUUGGCUCACUGCAGCCUCAACCUCCCAAGCUCAAGCAAUUCUUCCACCUCAGCCUCCUGAAUAGUUGGUAGUACAGGUGUGUACCAUACCCGAUUAAUUUUUGUGUAUUUUGUAAUUUUGUGUAUUUUGUAGAGACAGGAUUUCACCAUGUCGCCUAGGCUGGUCUCGAACUCCUGGACUCAAGCGAUCCUCCCACCUUGGCCUCCCAAAGUGUUGUAGUUACAGGUGUGAGCCACUGCGCCGGCCAUAAAUUACACUUAAAAAAAAUAAAAAGUAUUGAGGCCGGGUGUGGUGGCUCACGCCUAUUAUCCCAGCACUUUGGGAGGCCAAGGCAGGUGGAUCACAAAGAGUUCAAGACCAGCCUGGCCAAGAUAGUGAAAUCCCGUCUCUACUAAAAAUACAACAAUUAGCCGGACGCAGUGCCAGAUGCCUGUAAUCCCAGCUACUUGGGAGGCUGAGGCAGGAGAAUCGCUUGAACCCAGGUGGCAGAGGCUGCAGUGAGCCGAGAUCAUGCCACUGUACUCCAGCCUAGGCAAUAGAGUGAAACUCUGUCUCAAAAAAAAAAAAAAAAAAAAAAAAAUAUUGGCCGGGCGCAGUGGCUCACACCUAUAAUCCCAGCACUUUGGGAGGCCGAGGUGGGAGGAUCACUUGAGGUCAGGAGUUCAAGACCAGCCUGGCCAAUAUGGUGAAACCCCAUCUCUAUUAAAAAUACAACAAUUUGCCAGGCAUGUUGGCACAGGCCUGUAAUCCCAGCUACUGAGGAGGCUGAGGCAGGAGAAUCACUUGAACCUGGGAGGCAGAGGUUGCAGUGAGCCGAGAUUGCACCACUGCACUCCAGCAGGCAAAACAGAGCAAGACCCUGUCUCAAAAAAAAAAAAAAAAAAA
Molecule: long non-coding RNA, 1311 nt
Filed under: Homo sapiens (human)
Lineage: Eukaryota; Metazoa; Chordata; Mammalia; Primates; Hominidae
Description: HSALNT0396088
Source: RNAcentral